UAUCGAGAUAGCCAGGAGAUUUGAAGCCGCCCAUGGGAUCCCUCAAAUUAUAGGACUGAUAGACGGCACCCAUAUCCCUGUGCUGCCUCCAUCAAAUGGAUACAGGGACUUCGUGAACAGGAAAGGCUGGCCGUCCUACGUCCUGCAGGCUGUCGUGGAUGACAGAUGUUGUUUUAGACACAUAAGCUGCAAGAUGCCGGGCAGUGCUCAUGACGCCAAUGUUUUGAAACAGUCUGACCUUUUCAAGAUGGCUCAUCUGUUAGAAAGAGGAGUGAAGGACAUCGAGGGAGAGAUAGUGCCAGUCCAGAUUGUUGGUGACCCUGCAUACCCCAUCCUUGAUUGGCUCAUCAAGGGCUACAUUAACUCCCCAAAUUUAACACCUGAGCAAGAGUCCUUUAAUGUAUACCUGAGUUCUGUCCGAGUGGGAGUUGAGAGGACUUUUGGCAUCUUGAAGUCAAGAUGGAGGGUUCUCCUAAAACGCAGUGACUUCCACUAUA
Long non-coding RNA from Engraulis encrasicolus (European anchovy), 497 nucleotides. RefSeq lists it as uncharacterized. The transcript is spliced from 3 exons. The record is from RefSeq and is a predicted model, not a curated record. Lineage: Eukaryota; Metazoa; Chordata; Actinopteri; Clupeiformes; Engraulidae.